UCCUUGGUGGUCUAAUAGCUAAGACUGUACUCCCAAUGCAGAGGGCCCAGGUUUGAUCCCUGGCCAGAGAA
RNAcentral lists this transfer RNA (71 nucleotides) under Bos taurus (domestic cattle). It matches the Rfam family "tRNA". From Rfam's summary of the family: Transfer RNA (tRNA) molecules are approximately 80 nucleotides in length. Their secondary structure includes four short double-helical elements and three loops (D, anti-codon, and T loops). Lineage: Eukaryota; Metazoa; Chordata; Mammalia; Artiodactyla; Bovidae. The record is from Rfam by way of RNAcentral. RNAcentral also lists the same sequence under 5 other names.